This 4080-nucleotide unclassified non-coding RNA is filed under the name Megachile rotundata (alfalfa leafcutting bee). Its description in RNAcentral is "ubiquitin carboxyl-terminal hydrolase 38-like, transcript variant X1". Lineage: Eukaryota; Metazoa; Arthropoda; Insecta; Hymenoptera; Megachilidae. The record is from RNAcentral.
UAUUUCUCUAGGACUAUGAAAUCAUUUAGGUUUUCAUGAAAGUCAUUCUUGGUUGAGGUUAAUGAUAGUUGUAAUUAAAAAUUAUAAAGAAGUAAUUUAAAGUGUUAUUCAAAUUGUAUCUUGUGAAAUAAUGGGGACUGAACAAAUUCUGAAGUAUGAUAUAAAACAGUGUUUAAAUUUGAUCGUGAUCGGUGAAGAUACAGAGGUUAUUGAAGGAUGGACUAGACUUAAAAAGUUAGAAAAUGAAUCUGUAUAUGAACAGUUAACUAAUUACGAAAGUAUUUUACGAGAGCUAUUGAAUGGUCGAAUAAAAAAUGUGCAGGAAGUUCCAAAAAUCCUGAUGUGGUUCGCAAAAUAUCUGCCAGAGGAAUCACUGAGUGCUCAUUUAAUUUCAAAUGACAUAGCAACAAUGUUAAGAAAUACAGAAAUUAGUGACAUGUCUCAUUUAACUAUGAUACUUCAAGUAUUAUUGGAUCAUAGUGUCUACUUACCAAAUUCUGUAAAUCAUACGAAACUCUGUGAAGCAAUUAUAAUUUGUUUGUCUACUUUUUCAAUGCCAUAUGAGCCAAAAAAGAUUCUGGAGUUCAAUGACAAUGCCACUAAAGUUCAAUUCUUUUUAAAAAUAGUACAAACCACAUCGAAAAGUAUAGAAAAUAAUUUAAUUUUCAUAUGCCUACAAACAUUAUAUAGAAUUAUAUCAGAUACUAAAUGGAAACCAGAUCCUGGACCAGGGUUGGCUGCUGUAUUACAAAUAGUGGAGCCUUCUAUCAUACCGCAAGCUGUAUUUUUGAUUCUUUUUGAAUCACAUUGUGACUCUCAAUUAACCCAAGCUUUAAAAGUUCUUUGUAGUUGGCUUCCAAAGUGGAGAGGUGAUAGACUUAGCAUUUGGAUUAUGGAAUUUAUACUUGGUUUAGAAAAGCAGCACAAAUAUUCUAUACUUAUGGAAGUUACCAAAGCAUCACUUCAUGCAAUGUUUUGUGCUUUAUCUGUACCUGUAGUUCGGCAGAAUGCUUCAACAAUUACAUUUUAUGUUUUAAAAAGACAAGGCCAUCCAUCUUUAUUUAGAAAUAUAGUACGUAAUACACAAAAUGUUCUGUCCCAUUUAAUGAAGGAAGAUUCUGAAUCAAGCAAGGAAUGCUUACAAAAUUUAGUUGAUAUUAUGAAAGUGCUUAUGUUAAGAUUCCCAGGUCUAUCUGUUUUCAACAAUUUAGAAAAUAAUUUACCUGUGCAACCACGAAUGCAUAUUGUUAAGAAACUAAAGAAUGAACAUGUGUGGGUUGAUGAAGUGGAAGAGAUUGAACCAAUAAUUGAACCAAUUAAAACACAUGUCCAAAAAGUUGGCCUUUCAAAUCUUGGAAACACAUGUUAUAUGAAUAGUGUGUUACAAGCACUGUUAAUGACCAAGCGAUUCUGUUAUGAAGUACUAAUGUACAAACCUGCAAGCAAAGCUGAAGAUCAAGUUGUACUUAAGAAGUUACAAAAUCUGUUUACUUUGUUGUUGUAUUCCAAAAGGAUUUCUUUGGCACCAACUGAAAUUUUACUGGCUUCUCGUCCUGCUUACUUUCUACCGGGUCAACAACAAGAUAGUUCAGAAUUUCUCUGCCACCUGUUAGAUCUUUUACAUGAGCAAGAAAAGUCUGCUACUAUCCUCUGUAUCUUUAACAAGGGUAAGGAUGAUAAGGAAAUAAACGACAUAUCGGUAAAUGAAGGAGUUAGUAUUAAGCGUUGGACAACUGAAGAAGACUUAAGCGGUAGCAUAACUUUAGGAAGAAAAACGCAAUCAUUAGCUGAUUUUACACAAAGAGAAGAUUUGGCACAAGUACAACAACUUAGUGAUUCACAUUCAGAUUCAAGGGAUAGUGGAAUACAAUCUGUAGGUGGAGAAGAUACGAAUACACAGGUACCUCUUGUACAUAGAGUUCUAGGAGGAAAAUGCAAAAUUACCUAUCAGUGUGCUCAGUGUGAUACCAGUUCUCAUAACACGGACAAAUUUCGGGACUUGCAACUAAGCUUCCCAGAAGAAAUACAAGAGAAUCAAGAAGUUUCGGAACUAAUGGUUGGAAGAUUCGCGUACGGAUUGAGUACCGGAUACGGAUACAUGUGCGUUACCGUGUACGUAGGUGAAAUAUCACCGGCUGACAUACGAGGGAUACUAACAUCUAUGUUGACUGUAUCCGCAAAAUUCGGCGUGUUCAUCGAAUGGACGAUAGGUCCGUUUCUUUCAAUGCGAAACCUGGCUCUCGUUUCAUCGGCGGUACCUAUUUGCUUCCUCAUCGGCAUUCUAUGGAUACCGGAAUCCCCGUAUCAUUUGAUGCGUCGGGGGAAACAUGGCCAGGCGGUCAUGUCCCUUAUGCAAUUAAGAGGAAGCGCGAACGUUUCCGCGGAGGCUGACAUUAUCGAGAAAUCCGUGGAAGCUGAUCUGGCUAAUGAUACAGGCUUCCGGGAACUUUUGGGAGUUCCUGGUAAUCGCAAAGCGUUAAUCAUAGUGCUGUGUCUCCUGGUGCUCCAACAAUGGAGCGGCAGUCAGGCGAUCCUGUCUUACGCCGAAUUAAUCUUCAACGCGACCGGCAACCCACUUGAAGGUAAAUACGUGACCAUAAUAUUGGGAGCCGUGCAAGUGGUAUGCACCGUACUUAGCACGAUCGUAGUGGACCAUUACGGCAGGAGGCCGUUGCUAAUGAUAUCUUCUCUGGGCACCUCCAUCUCGACUUUUCUCGUCGGUUUGUUUUUCUUUCUUCGAAGUAUUCAAGCGGACGUCAGCGAGAUCACUUGGUUACCAGCUACGGGAGCGACACUGUAUCUGGUCAUGUACGCUUUCGGUUUGGCCGCGCUUCCGUUCACCAUGUUGAGCGAAGUCUUCCCUACGAACGUUAAGGCUCUUGGGGGCAGCAUCGGUAUGUUUGUUUGCAAUCUGUGCGCGGUUAUCGUGUCGCUGACUUAUAAAGACAUUGCCGACCAGUUUGGUAUGCACGGAGCGUUCUGGUUGUUUUCGACUGUUAGUCUUUCGGGAGUCGCUUUCGUGUACUUUUACACGCCUGAGACGAAGGGGAAGACGCUGCAGGAGGUGCAGGAUCAGUUGCACGGACGUAAAUCGUUGUGAGAAGCCGCACAUUGUUGUAUUAUGUAUUGUUUGUUUUAAUGAGGUCCAUACUUCUCUGGAGAGGUUGUGCAUUUCUUUAGGGAGUAUGUUAACAAGAUAUAUGUAUAUGGUUAAUGGCAAGAUAUGUAAUCUUGUACUAGAAGACUAGAAUUUGACGAUGUAUAUAUGUUAUGAAUGUUAAAUGAAAGAUGUGAUAACAAUGAGAUAUUAAUUAAUGGUUCAUGUAUAUUUUGAUAAUCAGGCUUUCGGAAAUCAAGUGGUUUAGAUUACGUAAACCGCUGUCUGACCCACGCUGCUCGUUACUACUGAUGCUAAUCGUGCGCAAGCCAUUACUACUGACAGUAGUCAUUACCCGUAUGCGAUCAGACGUCGAAUACACGUGUCACGUGCAAUUACAUAAUUCUGGAAAUUAUUUAUUAAUAAACCGUGUCUGUUACGCACAAACGUAAUGUAAAACAAAUAUUCUUGUAAAUUUUUCAAAUCAUCCGAACAAAUUUUAUAUCGUUUUUCUCCAAAUUACAAAACAAAGCUGAAAAACAGGAACAGACAAGAGCUGUACAAAUUAAUAGUUGAAUGCGUUAUUUGUUCAAAAUAUUGUACAUAUAUUUGCUCCAUGAAAUUUCAGCGAACGAACUGGGCAAAGCAGGAUUAACAUUGGAUGUGGAAAAUGAAAUAUUGUUUGGUUGCUUGUAGCCGGUAUUAAUUAACAUGCAAACAAUCAAUGCCCGUUACCUGCAGUGUAAACUGCAAAUAAAUAAAUGCCGAGACCUGAUCGGCAUUGCACGUAAAAGAUGAUUACGAAUGCUGUUUUAUUUGUAUUUCACUUGCGCGCACUUACCGUCUGCAUCGAGAAUUCGUUUGUUAUUAAUCUCUUGUUCAGCAAAUACUCGACCUCGAUGUUAGAUUAAAAUAAAUCGUCGUGUCAUCGCGGAACGGAAUAAUACAUUUGACUUCAACGUGACUUACACAUUAAUUUCCUU